AAUGAAUUGCCUGACAAAAGGAUUACCUUGAUAGGGUAAAUUAUGUAAUAGCCAUUACAUUCAUUA
RNAcentral lists this transfer RNA (66 nucleotides) under Gasterophilus nasalis. RNAcentral's name for it is "tRNA-Ile". Lineage: Eukaryota; Metazoa; Arthropoda; Insecta; Diptera; Oestridae. The record is from RNAcentral.